Juglans microcarpa x Juglans regia is the source of this 528-nucleotide long non-coding RNA. RefSeq lists it as uncharacterized. The transcript is spliced from 3 exons. NCBI's taxonomy places the organism in Eukaryota, Viridiplantae, Streptophyta, Magnoliopsida, Fagales, Juglandaceae. The record is from RefSeq and is a predicted model, not a curated record.
AGAAAAUAUUGGAAAAAAUUUUGUUCUCUUCGGGUGAGAUAGUACCACAAUUUGACUCAACAAUGUUAUCUGCUUCAUUAAUAAUUCUCUUCUGCUUAAAUAGCAGAAUUACACCGAAAUAAAAGGAAACAAUAAAGCAAACUUGCGGACUGACUUGCAGAACAAUAAUGGAAAAUGCGGACUGACUUGCGGACUAAGAACCGAAACUGCAGCUCACGAAACAGAGCCUAAAACAAAAUAAAAACAGAGCUUAAAACUAGAAUGCUUAAAAAUAGAAUGACACUAACGGAAAUCAUCCGCUUCGUGCGCUCGUGCGGACUUCAUGCGCGCUUCAUGCGUAUAAGCUCACUGACCAGUUAUGCAUGCUACGCUCGUGCGCACUUCAUGCGCGCCUCAUGCGUAUAUGCUCACGGACCCAGUCAUGCUCACUGACCCAGUCACGCUGCAUGCCUUCUUCACGUAUCAGAUCAUCCCAAAUAUUUGGGAUUUGGUUUACGGAGUCUUGUGGAACGACGUGGCCUAUCAUUA